UUUCCUCCAAGAACCAUUUCAGUAUGAGAUACUAGCAACUAGUAUUGCAACGCUCUAUGAAAAUGCAGAAAGAUGCCAUGAUUGAUGAUGUCAAAAGCUACCAAGAGAUCCACUAGACCUAUAGAUUCAACUCCCCUAUCUCUGUCGAGCUGUAAGUCAUCCGCAGGAACGAUCAAUAUUAUCUUGCCUGAAAAUGAACUGAAAAGGCUCCACUAUGCCUCGGUUGAAUCUCUCCUUGAUCAAUUUCCAUCCAUUGUUCCUUGUCUGGCCUUCGGGUGCUUUGGAAAGUUGGUUGUCCCCCUCCUCUCUGCGACAGCCCCCAGACUGAAGCAGGAUCCCAAAUGAAAGCGUAACGAGAAUGUAUACUCUUCAACAAAUGCUUCCUUGUUGUACUCGGAGAGCUACUUCAAGAAUUAGAAAGGCAAGUACUGACUUCAAGAGCCCUGCCACGGUCCCUCCCGUUUCCUGGCAUGUCAAAGCAAGCGAAGGAGAGAUGCGAAUCAGGAUGAGCCUUUUGUCACCCCUCCUGAGGGAACAAAGCCUGCGUACAGUUAUUUCCAUUUAAUUAUUUCCUUGUAACAACUUCCCCUUUGCUACCAUGGAAUAUCUUUAUGUAAGUACAUGACAUACAAGCUCCUUAAAGGGAAAAAAAAAAGAAAAGAAAAGAAACAAUCCAAUCCUUAGCACAAUAGCACAAUAUGU
Pantherophis guttatus is the source of this 702-nucleotide long non-coding RNA. RefSeq lists it as uncharacterized. The record is from RefSeq and is a predicted model, not a curated record. Lineage: Eukaryota; Metazoa; Chordata; Lepidosauria; Squamata; Colubridae.